This 427-nucleotide long non-coding RNA is filed under the name Mus pahari (shrew mouse). Its description in RNAcentral is "lncRNA (MGP_PahariEiJ_G0033078.1)". The record is from RNAcentral. Lineage: Eukaryota; Metazoa; Chordata; Mammalia; Rodentia; Muridae.
GGGGGGGGACCGGUGCGGGGAACGCGCCUCGCCAGCUGUCCAAGGUUGCCCGGCUGGCGUAGACAUGCGUGACCCCCUCCCUCACCUGGCCCCCACGUUAUCCCCGAAUUCCCGACAACAUGCGUGCAGAUGACUGACUUCCCAGGAUAGUGAGGACUGUGUGGUCCUCUUGGUAUCUUGACCUGGUAGCCAGUGUCACCAGCUGGUCUGCCAACUGGGAAGGAGGAGGCCCUUCCAUAAGGGGGAUCCAACACCCAGAUGAAUUAGUUGGUCAACUGGUUAGCAUUUUCUGUCCCUGUAUCCUAUGAGUGUCUGUAACCUUUAUAGUGAAGUGCUAUAAAACGCCUGCUUAAUCCCUGCCUAGUGAGUUUCAAAUCUUAGCUGCUGAACAACCACUAGGUAAAAAAUAUAUAAAUUACUUUGACAC